GCGUAAAGCGCGCGCAGGCGGAUCAGCAAGUCAGAUGUGAAAUCUCGGAGCUCAACUCCGAAACUGCGUCUGAAACUGCUAGUCUAGAAUGUCGGAGGGGGCAGGGGAAUUCACGUGUAGGGGUAAAAUCCGUAGAGAUGUGAAGGAACACCGGGGGCGAAGGCGCCUGCCUGGACGACUAUUGACGCUGAGGCGCGAAAGCGUGGGGAGCAAACAGGAUUAGAUACCCUGGAUAAUCCACGCCGUAAACGAUGAGAACUAGUUAUUGGGGGUAUUGACUCCCUCAGUGACGCAGCUAACGCAUUAAGUUCUCCGCCUGGGGAGUACGGUCGCAAGACUAAAACUCAAACAAAUUGACGGGGGCCCGCACAAGCGGUGGAUUAUGUGGUUUAAUUCGAAGCAACGCGCAGAACCUUACCUAGGCUUGAACUCCUACGAAUCCGUUUUAAUCGACGGAGUGUCCGCAAGGAAAUGUAGAGAGAGGUGCUGCAUGGCUGUCGUCAGCUCGUGUUGUGAAAUGUUGGGUUAAGUCUCGCAACGAGCGCAACCCCUAUCGUCUGUUGCCAGCAUUAAGUUGGGCACUCUGACGAGACUGCCUGGGUUAACCAGGAGGAAGGUGGGGAUGACGUCAAGUCCUCAUGGCCCUUAUGUCUAGGGCUACACACGUAAUACAAUGGCGCGUACAGAGGGAAGCGAACUCGCAAGGGGGAGCAAAUCUCAAAAAGCGCGCCUCAGUUCGGAUUGGAGUCUGCAACUCGACUCCAUGAAGUUGGAAUCGCU
Molecule: ribosomal RNA, 780 nt
Filed under: uncultured bacterium
Lineage: Bacteria
Description: bacterial SSU rRNA
Rfam family: Bacterial small subunit ribosomal RNA
Source: RNAcentral